UCUCCUUUGGAUUCGUUUUUCUCUUUUUAUCAUCAAUUUUAUUAUUAUUUUUUUAAAUCAGUAGCAAAGUUAAAAUUAAAAGUACUAAAAUAAAUAUUCGAUAAAUUUAGAUGGGUAUUUGAAGUUUUCUAUAUAUAAUUUAACGAAAUAUUUUAAAAAAACUGCCAAAAAAAUAAAAACAAAACCAUAGAAGGGCAAAUUGAUAUACUUUAAACCACAUGAUACUAAACCGAGAAAGUGCGAAACCACGUGGGAUUUUUUUUGAAGUUUUC
Molecule: long non-coding RNA, 272 nt
Filed under: Ananas comosus (pineapple)
Lineage: Eukaryota; Viridiplantae; Streptophyta; Magnoliopsida; Poales; Bromeliaceae
Description: long non-coding RNA (ACOM_LNC012852)
Source: RNAcentral